UGCCAGGGUUCACCACCAUCUUAGGAAUAUCAUGAAUAAAGCGUUAGAUUGGGUGUGCCCUAACUGAUGGUCACAAGCAUGAUACUAAUUAUCAGGGUGAACAAAGCAGGGGAGUAACAGCAUCAGUAACUGUGAAACUCUAGGAGUUUGUCUUCAUUCUUUCAGUGAUAGAAUAUCUAGCAUUUGUAUUUCGUACAUCAUACACUUGAGUUAAUAUCUGUGGAAAGGAUAAAUACAUAAGGAAAAGAGAUGCAGGAAGCUGCAGAGACACUGGCCAUUUAUCUGAGAAGUGCCCAAUGAGGCAUCACCAGAUAAGCACACGUUGGGUCGUUCUCCUGCUUCAGUAAGGUCUGUGGCGCUGACAUUAUCAAUGCUAUGGACGCCUCAAGGCUCUCAUAAAAAUACCUGGCUUCAGCAAUACGCAUGCAGUUAUCUCAGUUUAAAGGAAACGUGUUCUGCUCCCUGCUUAAUAAGAAAUCCUGCUUACUUCUCCAGCUUUUGAAGCACAGAUUAUUUUUCCUCUCUUCAUCAUAUAAAAAUGGAAAUUAUCAAAACAAAACAUCAUCAAAACAAAACAUCAUCAAAAACAGGUUGCUCUCUGAGUAAAGGUUUUAUCUUUGUUUGGGAUAGAAUCUCAUUCUGUCACCCAGGCCAGAGAGCACUGACAUUAUCAUGGCUCACUGCAACCUCAAACUCCCAAGCUCAAGCGAUCCUCCCACCUCAGCCUCCCAAGUAGCUGGGACCACAG
RNAcentral lists this non-coding RNA (748 nucleotides) under Pan troglodytes (chimpanzee). The record is from RNAcentral. Lineage: Eukaryota; Metazoa; Chordata; Mammalia; Primates; Hominidae.